GUAUCUGAGUUUCUCUUCAGACUGUAUAAAUCUUUCGCCUUUUACUAAAGAAUUCUGUGGAGAGGAACACUUAAGAGUUUCUACCUAAUUUUUUUUUACAUAUCUGAGUAGA
This is a small nuclear RNA of Chelonoidis abingdonii (Abingdon island giant tortoise), 112 nucleotides long. Its record names the gene U5. It matches the Rfam family "U5 spliceosomal RNA". Rfam says of the family: U5 RNA is a component of both types of known spliceosome. The record is from Ensembl. Lineage: Eukaryota; Metazoa; Chordata; Testudines; Testudinidae.